RNAcentral lists this ribosomal RNA (1521 nucleotides) under Leifsonia sp. D24. RNAcentral's name for it is "bacterial SSU rRNA". It matches the Rfam family "Bacterial small subunit ribosomal RNA". The record is from RNAcentral. Lineage: Bacteria; Bacillati; Actinomycetota; Actinomycetes; Micrococcales; Microbacteriaceae.
UGCAAGUCGAACGAUGAAAGAGGGAGCUUGCUUCUUCUGGAUUAGUGGCGAACGGGUGAGUAACACGUGAGCAAUCUGCCCUUGACUCUGGGAUAAGCGUUGGAAACGACGUCUAAUACCGGAUACGACCCUCGGAGGCAUCUCCUGGGGGUGGAAAGAAUUUUGGUCAAGGAUGAGCUCGCGGCCUAUCAGCUAGUUGGUGAGGUAAUGGCUCACCAAGGCGACGACGGGUAGCCGGCCUGAGAGGGUGACCGGCCACACUGGGACUGAGACACGGCCCAGACUCCUACGGGAGGCAGCAGUGGGGAAUAUUGCACAAUGGGCGAAAGCCUGAUGCAGCAACGCCGCGUGAGGGAUGACGGCCUUCGGGUUGUAAACCUCUUUUAGUAGGGAAGAAGCGAAAGUGACGGUACCUGCAGAAAAAGCACCGGCUAACUACGUGCCAGCAGCCGCGGUAAUACGUAGGGUGCAAGCGUUGUCCGGAAUUAUUGGGCGUAAAGAGCUCGUAGGCGGUUUGUCGCGUCUGCUGUGAAAUCUGGGGGCUCAACCCCCAGCCUGCAGUGGGUACGGGCAGACUAGAGUGCGGUAGGGGAGAUUGGAAUUCCUGGUGUAGCGGUGGAAUGCGCAGAUAUCAGGAGGAACACCGAUGGCGAAGGCAGAUCUCUGGGCCGUAACUGACGCUGAGGAGCGAAAGCAUGGGGAGCGAACAGGAUUAGAUACCCUGGUAGUCCAUGCCGUAAACGUUGGGAACUAGAUGUGGGGACCAUUCCACGGUCUCCGUGUCGCAGCUAACGCAUUAAGUUCCCCGCCUCGUAACUGACGCUGAGGAGCGAAAGCAUGGGGAGCGAACAGGAUUAGAUACCCUGGUAGUCCAUGCCGUAAACGUUGGGAACUAGAUGUGGGGACCAUUCCACGGUCUCCGUGUCGCAGCUAACGCAUUAAGUUCCCCGCCUGGGGAGUACGGCCGCAAGGCUAAAACUCAAAGGAAUUGACGGGGGCCCGCACAAGCGGCGGAGCAUGCGGAUUAAUUCGAUGCAACGCGAAGAACCUUACCAAGACUUGACAUAUACGAGAACGCUGCAGAAAUGUAGAACUCUUUGGACACUCGUAAACAGGUGGUGCAUGGUUGUCGUCAGCUCGUGUCGUGAGAUGUUGGGUUAAGUCCCGCAACGAGCGCAACCCUCGUCCUAUGUUGCCAGCACGUAAUGGUGGGAACUCAUGGGAUACUGCCGGGGUCAACUCGGAGGAAGGUGGGGAUGACGUCAAAUCAUCAUGCCCCUUAUGUCUUGGGCUUCACGCAUGCUACAAUGGCCGGUACAAAGGGCUGCGAUACCGUAAGGUGGAGCGAAUCCCAAAAAGCCGGUCUCAGUUCGGAUUGAGGUCUGCAACUCGACCUCAUGAAGUCGGAGUCGCUAGUAAUCGCAGAUCAGCAACGCUGCGGUGAAUACGUUCCCGGGCCUUGUACACACCGCCCGUCAAGUCAUGAAAGUCGGUAACACCCGAAGCCGGUGGCCUAACCCC